UACGGGGGGGGCAAGCGUUGUUCGGAAUUACUGGGCGUAAAGGGCUCGUAGGUGGCCAACUAAGUCAUACGUGAAAUCCCUCAGCUUAACUGGGGAACUGCGUCUGAUACUGGAUGGCUUGAGUUUGGGAGAGGGAUGCGGAAUUCCAGGUGUAGCGGUGAAAUGCGCAGAUAUCAGGAGGAACACCGGUGGCGAAGGCGGGUCUCUGGGCCGAUACUGACGCUGAGGAGCGAAAGCAUGGGUAGCGAACAGG
This 253-nucleotide ribosomal RNA is filed under the name uncultured bacterium. RNAcentral's name for it is "partial 16S ribosomal RNA". It matches the Rfam family "Bacterial small subunit ribosomal RNA", at positions 524 to 776 of the family's 1533-position model. The record is from RNAcentral.